GAGCAGCCCAGAGUCUGAAUCAGCUUGUGUGUUAGUGGAACGGUCUGGAAAGUCCGACGGUACAGGGUGAUAGUCCCGUACACCAAAAUGCACAGGUUGUGAACUCGAAGAGUAGGGCGGGACACGUGGUAUCCUGUCUGAAUAUGGGGGGACCAUCCUCCAAGGCUAAAUACUCCUGACUGACCGAUAGUGAACCAGUACCGUGAGGGAAAGGCGAAAAGAACCCCGGCGAGGGGAGUGAAAAAGAACCUGAAACCGUGUACGUACAAGCAGUGGGAGCACCUUCGGGUGUGACUGCGUACCUUUUGUAUAAUGGGUCAGCGACUUAUAUUCUGUAGCAAGGUUAACCGUAUAGGGGAGCCGCAGGGAAACCGAGUCUUAACUGGGCGUUAAGUUGCAGGGUAUAGACCCGAAACCCGGUGAUCUAGCCAUGGGCAGGUUGAAGGUUGGGUAACACUAACUGGAGGACCGAACCGACUAAUGUUGAAAAAUUAGCGGAUGACUUG
RNAcentral lists this ribosomal RNA (506 nucleotides) under Mesorhizobium sp. RNAcentral describes it as "partial 23S ribosomal RNA". It matches the Rfam family "Bacterial large subunit ribosomal RNA", at positions 295 to 811 of the family's 2925-position model. Lineage: Bacteria; Pseudomonadati; Pseudomonadota; Alphaproteobacteria; Hyphomicrobiales; Phyllobacteriaceae. The record is from RNAcentral.